Molecule: ribosomal RNA, 435 nt
Filed under: uncultured bacterium
Lineage: Bacteria
Description: bacterial SSU rRNA
Rfam family: Bacterial small subunit ribosomal RNA
Source: RNAcentral
ACUCCUACGGGAGGCAGCAGUGGGGAAUAUUGCACAAUGGGCGCAAGCCUGAUGCAGCCAUGCCGCGUGUAUGAAGAAGGCCUUCGGGUUGUAAAGUACUUUCAGCAGUGAGGAAGGCGGAGUCGUUAAUAGCGGCCUCGUUUGACGUUAGCUGCAGAAGAAGCACCGGCUAACUCCGUGCCAGCAGCCGCGGUAAUACGGAGGGUGCGAGCGUUAAUCGGAAUUACUGGGCGUAAAGCGCAUGCAGGUGGUUUGUUAAGUCAGAUGUGAAAGCCCGGGGCUCAACCUCGGAAUUGCAUUUGAAACUGGCAGACUAGAGUACUGUAGAGGGGGGUAGAAUUUCAGGUGUAGCGGUGAAAUGCGUAGAGAUCUGAAGGAAUACCGGUGGCGAAGGCGGCCCCCUGGACAGAUACUGACACUCAGAUGCGAAAGGCU